AAUUGGGAGACGCAAACUGUGAAGAAGCUUCCUUGAACGUAUUGGGAACAAUUUUGUUGAAGGGAACACAAAAACAGAGAGUGGAUUUGAGGUUGACUUGGAUACAAAGAAUAAAAUCGAACUUUCUUCAGGAUAAAUUGGUGACACUAACCGAAGUUAAUCAGGUUAAGACAAGACAUUCAUGUACGGCUAACAACGACAUCACAACUUAAGACCAUUACUUCGAGUCAAUACAUUAAAUAUCUAUUUGUAAUCCUGUAAGACAAAAUCCUUGAAAUGAUUAAACCCUACGAGUUAAUAUUAACAAAUACAACAAAAGUUUUAGGGACAGGUGGACCCAUUGUAAUCCCUGACUUUUAGCAUUUGCAGAUAGAAAUGUCAAUUUAAUAGGGAGAAAGCGAUUGAGAGAUUUUUCUCUAAAAUCGAGUUGGGUCAUUGGGGGCAAAGAUUGUAUUCCACGUCUCACUUUAAAUAUAUUUUUAAGAGUUAUUAACUA
Long non-coding RNA from Cucurbita pepo subsp. pepo (vegetable marrow), 496 nucleotides. RefSeq lists it as uncharacterized. The record is from RefSeq and is a predicted model, not a curated record. Lineage: Eukaryota; Viridiplantae; Streptophyta; Magnoliopsida; Cucurbitales; Cucurbitaceae.